UAAUCAUUAAUGCUUGCUACAAAGGAGCAAGGCUAAAGCCUGGGUUCACGCGCUGCUGAGAUAAUGAUGUGUGGCAGGUGAAUUCCGCACAGAGAAGCAAAUUCUCUGUUUAAAAAUAGAAAUGUGUGAAUUCGAAGAAAGUCUGACUACAGGAGCAAGACUGAGCCAAAGGCAUUGAGAGGAAAUUGGAAGAGUGCCAGGCAAAAACAGGCAACUUGAGGCCACAUUGACAGCAAUAGAACAGCUUAACAUCACCCUAACAGAAGCAGUUAAGACAGUGCAGGAGAAAGCUGAGAAGGCAGAGGAGAAACAGAACCAGAUAGUAUGCUGUCUGGCAACGGUACAACAGAAUAAGAGAGCAAAAUGGCGCAAUUGAUAUCCUCAAUCAUAUUGUGUGGCACUUUCACCAUGCUUUAACGGACAGUCUUCAAACAGAGCUAGCAACUCAAGAUUCAGCAUCCACAAAAUACUAUGAGUCAUCAGAAAGAGAUUGAGAGUUUAGUGGCUUGGUGUAAAGACAACAAUCUCUCCCUCCGAAUCAGCAAAACAAAGGAGCUGGUCAUCAACUUCAGAAAGUGGAGUGGAGGACACACCCCUGUCUGUAUCAAUGAUGCUGAGAUGGAGGUUGUUGAGAGCUUCAAAAUCCUAGUAGUAAAUAUCACCAAUAAUCUGCCCUGGUCCAUCCAUGUCAAUGCUACAGUCAAGAAAGCACAUCAACACCUCUACUUCCUCAGAAGGCUAAGGAAAUUCG
Long non-coding RNA from Rhincodon typus (whale shark), 751 nucleotides. RefSeq lists it as uncharacterized. The record is from RefSeq and is a predicted model, not a curated record. The transcript is spliced from 3 exons. Lineage: Eukaryota; Metazoa; Chordata; Chondrichthyes; Orectolobiformes; Rhincodontidae.